Rhinolophus ferrumequinum (greater horseshoe bat) is the source of this 329-nucleotide long non-coding RNA. RefSeq lists it as uncharacterized. The transcript has 3 exons. The record is from RefSeq and is a predicted model, not a curated record. Lineage: Eukaryota; Metazoa; Chordata; Mammalia; Chiroptera; Rhinolophidae.
AGCACGCCCCACGCCCAGUGCCCCGCAGCUGGGCCAAGCGGAUCCAAGAUGGGUCUCACCCGAAUUUUUCUUUGGGAGCUGGACUAAGGGGAGGUCAAGAUUCCAAACGCCCCCAAAUGACUCCAAAGGGUUUCACAGGUAUGUGGCCAAAGGAACAACUCCAUGUUUUCAAAAAGGCCUGGAGAACAUCUAGCAGAGCCCCAGCUAAGAACCUAGAUGAGUAGAAGUAAAGUUUUGUCUCCUUUACAGUGGAAACAACCCAAGUGUCUAUCAACAGAAAAAUGGAUAAGCAAAAUGUGGUAUAUCCAUACAAUUGAAUAUUACUUGCC